ACGGCCUACUGGUCUAGCUGAUGAAGAUCAUUGCUAAUUACCGGGAUUGACAGACCAGCAUUGAUAGCAUACUAAUGAUAGGGCAUUUAAGGUUCGAGAUUUGCAGGGGGUUUUGCAUUAUCGAGCUGUUGAUUUUCGAUCUAUUAAAGAUCGGAUGGUCCCUUGGUGAAUAGAUCAGGCAAUUUUUUCCUUAUCGAAAUAGCUUUAGUUUUAUGGUUUUUGCAAAUGCCAUUGUUGCCGAAAAGGUUGUCACGCGUAAAGGCACAUAAUAGAUGGAAGAACUGUAGGGCGAUAGUUGUUUAGCAAAUCCACGCCAAACCUCAAUGUGUAUAUUUUGUUCGUCAAACUUCUAAAUGAUGUUAUACCUGCAUAGGCAUCUUAGUUUAAUUUAUGACCUCCCAUAUACUCGAGAAGGAUAUAUUGUGGUUUAUGUUCCCUUCUCUUUUGAUAUAUAUACAUUCUUAAUGCAAA
This is a non-coding RNA of Erythranthe guttata (spotted monkey flower), 471 nucleotides long. The record is from RefSeq and is a predicted model, not a curated record. NCBI's taxonomy places the organism in Eukaryota, Viridiplantae, Streptophyta, Magnoliopsida, Lamiales, Phrymaceae.